GCCGGCUUAGCUCAGUUGGUAGAGCGACGCACUUGUAAUGCGUAGGUCACGAGUUCGACUCUUGUAGCCGGCACCA
This 76-nucleotide transfer RNA is filed under the name Alphaproteobacteria bacterium. RNAcentral describes it as "tRNA-Thr". It matches the Rfam family "tRNA". Rfam says of the family: Transfer RNA (tRNA) molecules are approximately 80 nucleotides in length. Their secondary structure includes four short double-helical elements and three loops (D, anti-codon, and T loops). Further hydrogen bonds mediate the characteristic L-shaped molecular structure. tRNAs have two regions of fundamental functional importance: the anti-codon, which is responsible for specific mRNA codon recognition, and the 3' end, to which the tRNAs corresponding amino acid is attached (by aminoacyl-tRNA synthetases). tRNAs cope with the degeneracy of the genetic code in two manners: having more than one tRNA (with a specific anti-codon) for a particular amino acid; and 'wobble' base-pairing, i.e. permitting non-standard base-pairing at the 3rd anti-codon position. Lineage: Bacteria; Pseudomonadati; Pseudomonadota; Alphaproteobacteria. RNAcentral also lists the same sequence under 2 other names. The record is from RNAcentral.